GAGUGUGUUGAGGAUCUUUCCACAUCAGUUACCCUCCUAAUGGCUGGAGUUGACUCGGCUGAUGGGGAUGGCUAAGUGGUGUCCCCUUCCUUUUUCACUACUCCAUGGACAUCCCUCCUAAAACGAAGUGCUUUUGGAUGCAGAGGACAGCCCCAUCGAAGUUGUUUUGUCAAGAGAAAUUGAUAGCUACACUCUGCUAUUUGAAUCUUCAAAUUUAACACUUGCUUUUCUGUGCUUUCUCUUUGUUUCUCUUAAAAAUAUUAUAUAUGAUAACACAUUUGGAAAG
This 286-nucleotide small nuclear RNA is filed under the name Ailuropoda melanoleuca (giant panda). RNAcentral's name for it is "7SK RNA". It matches the Rfam family "7SK RNA". From Rfam's summary of the family: 7SK was discovered as an abundant small nuclear RNA in the mid-70s but a possible function has only recently been suggested. Lineage: Eukaryota; Metazoa; Chordata; Mammalia; Carnivora; Ursidae. The record is from Rfam by way of RNAcentral.